This is a long non-coding RNA of Notolabrus celidotus (New Zealand spotty), 1684 nucleotides long. RefSeq lists it as uncharacterized. The record is from RefSeq and is a predicted model, not a curated record. The transcript has 5 exons. Lineage: Eukaryota; Metazoa; Chordata; Actinopteri; Labriformes; Labridae.
AAUUUCUUCCCUGACACAUUCAGUCUUCCUCUCUUGUCAUGGGAGUUAACUUAUCUCUGAAUCAGACCACAUGAUUCACAGCGCCGACCAUGAAGAAUCUGACAUUCCUCUCUGUUAUCUCUCUGAGAUCAGCAUGGACAGCAGCAGAACCAGAUCAACAUUUUCUACAAGGAGUUCAAAAAAGAGAUUUCUACUGAGUGUGUGGACAACGCUGAGGGAUUUCCUGGUGUUAUCGUGUAUGACGAUGAAACAUUCCCCAUUUCUUCACCACCAGGUCAUGACGAUAGCGUGCUGAUGGCUUCUGCUGAUGAACUAGGCCCUUACAGCUCCGUGCAACCUUUUCAAAAAGUAAUGAUCAUGAUGAUGAUGAUGACGAUGCAGUGGAUUGGGAUCUUCUAGAGGCUGACAGUGGAGAAGUACUGUGCAGGAGUGGGACGAGGAGGAGGAUGAAGAUGAUGACUGACAGUUAGCCAUCAACAUAAAGAGCCAUGGCAGCUUUAGUUUUUUGGUUUUUUUUAAGUUGUGUUUUUGGGCAUUAAUGAUAGGACAGCCGAAGAGAGACAGGAAAUGUGGGGUAUAGAGAGUGGGGGAAGACAUGCAGCAAAUGGUCGACAGGUCGGGAGUCAAAUUUUUUAUGUUUGUUUGGGGACUUUUAUGCCCGUAUUAAAGCUGCUUUUGGUAGGAAUGGUUUAAAAAAAAAUUACUUUUUUUCUGCAGGGUUUCGAGAAAAAGUCAUAAUACCAAUCAGUACUCAUCUGUAAGUGAAGUAAUCUGAGAUUAUGGCGAAAUCUCUGUGUUUUCCAAUGCCUUUGUAUCAAGCAAUGUUAUUAUUCCCCUCGUCCGUUAUCACGGACCAAUCAGAGCUACUCCCCAACCCUCUGUCCUGAUUGGUCGAGUGGCGGCCCCACUAUUUCGCCCUGAUUGGCUUCCCAGUCAAUCAGGGCAUUCCUCAUAGAACGCGCACAACAAUCUUUUGUGGGCGGGGUUACGACUGCAGAGAGGGGAGGCCUAGUGUUGACGUUCGAAAUCUCUUUUAGAACUGAUGUUUAUAUCAAGACUACCAACAGCAGCUUUAAGAGGGAACAGUGAAUGGCGUGGAAAUGCAGUGGUUGUCUACAGUAUCUGCCAUAGACGGCCUGCUGCUGUGGACGUGCCAGACUCCAGCGGCAACAGCUUCUACUAUUUGUCUCAUCACUAUCAUCUCUCUCUCUUCAUCUCCCUCUAUCCCUCUCUCCAACCCCAACUCGGUCUCAGCAGAUGUGUGUCUAACAUGAAUCUGGUCCUGCUGGAGGUUUCUGUCUGUUAAAGGAAGUUUGUCCUUGCCACUGUAACUUGCUAAAUGCUGCAAAGUGCUCUGCUCAUGGUGGAUUAGGAUUAGAUCAGACUGAGUCCUGUCUGUAAGAUGGGACUGGAUCUUAUCCUGUCUUGAUGUUGGGUCUUUGUUAAUAAUAUAACAGAGUACGGUCUAGACCUGCUGUUUGUAAAAGCGUAUUGAGGUAACGUUUGUUGUGAUUUGGUGCUAUAUAAAUAAAGAUUGAUUGAUUGAAGUAGGGAGAUGGCUGCCCUCUUCAAGGACCACAGCCACUGUACAUAGGGGUUGAUAUGGCUGGAAUACAACUUGUGCUGUUUGCAAAAUAUCAAAGCGACUGUAAAACAACCAAUAAACAAUUGAUCACAAAUUUUA